This 1208-nucleotide long non-coding RNA is filed under the name Homo sapiens (human). RNAcentral describes it as "non-protein coding lnc-NOC2L-7:2". Lineage: Eukaryota; Metazoa; Chordata; Mammalia; Primates; Hominidae. The record is from RNAcentral.
GUGAGCUUCUGUCCUAGGGGAGCUCCGGGGGCCUGUCCCAUCAUUUGCCUUCAGCCAGAAUGACAUGUGCCUGGUGUUUGUAGCUUUUGCCACCUGGGCUGUGAGGACGUCAGAUCCGCAUACCCCAGACGCCUGGAAAACAGCCUUGCUGGCCAACGUCGGCACCAUCUCUGCCAUCCGCUACUUCCGCCGGCAGGUGGGGCAAGGGCGCCGCAGCCACAGCCCCAGCCCCAGCUCCUAGGAGCCAGGCCCGGGCCAGGGAGAUGCAGGAUGAGGAGACGACCACAGGCGCCCAGGGCAGGACGAGGUGCCGCCCUCGCCCGGGCCCUCUGACCCCUCUCUUCUACCGCGUCCAGGAGGGGGGCGUGUCCUGGUGCUGCUCCCUCCGACUCACCUGAGGAUCCAGCCAGUGACCACGGCCACUCCCCACGCCUGGGAGGGAGGUGCUAAAGUCUGGGUGGGUGGAGGGCAGGCAGGUGGCUGGGUAGGAGGGUGGCCAGAUUCACAGAUGAGAACACAGGGCAUUCGGUUAAUUUCAGACAGGCAAUAGUGGGGAGGUCAUUUUACUAAGAAGUUGUUGUUUAUCUGAAAUCAAAUGCAACCGCACCCUGCGUUUCUUCUGGGGUGCAGGGGGAGCUGAGUGGCAGGACAGGACUUGGACCUCGGAGGGGUCUGAGCAGCAAGACACUCCGGCUGGAGCUCUGGGCAGAGGCAGGGGAGAGGACACAGGGUGGCCUCAAAGAGGGGAUGGGCAGCCUCCUCACAGGUGGGCUGGGCUGGCAAGGGCUCCAAGGCCCAUCACUCUUGAUCCUCAAAGGACUGUGGCCAAGGCCUCUGCGGGCUCUGGCCUGAGACAGCGAAGGCUCUGCCUGCCCCUCCCCAGUGCAGCAGCCCCUGCAGGGUGGGGGUCUGUGGCAGAGCCGCGAGCCCCUCCCCGGGAGCCCUGGGUGCAGGUGCAGAGGGAGAAUUCGGUGGCCUCAGAUGGAGGGCUGGGCUCCUGGGGUUGUCCCGGGGGCUCCUGUGGGGCAGCUGGGGACCCACAGCCAAGAGGAGUCAGAGAUGAGGUGGGAAGGUCGGUGAGGGGCCCGAGGUGGCAGAGGAAGGGGGCUGCCUGGCUGGGUGCUGGGUGGGGGUCCUCAAGACUGUGGGAGACCCUGGCUGCUGAGCAGAGAACACAUGGAUGCAGCACCAAUAAAAUUCUAUCUUUU